This 468-nucleotide ribosomal RNA is filed under the name uncultured bacterium. RNAcentral describes it as "partial 16S ribosomal RNA". It matches the Rfam family "Bacterial small subunit ribosomal RNA", at positions 28 to 507 of the family's 1533-position model. The record is from RNAcentral.
GACGAACGCUGGCGGCGUGCUUAACACAUGCAAGUCGAACGGAACGGCCCGGCUUUUGUGGGGUGCUCGAGUGGCGAACGGGUGAGUAACACGUGAGUAACCUGCCCCUGACUUUGGGAUAACUUCAGGACACUGGGGCUCAUACCGCAUAGGAGCUCCUGCUGCAUGGUGGGGGUGGGAAAGUUUCGGCGGUUGGGGAUGGACUCGCGUCUUAUCAGCUUGUUGGGGUGGUAGUGGCUGACCAAGGCUUUGACGGGUAGCCGGGCUGAGAGGGGAACCGGACAAGUCACACUGGAACUGAGACACAGACCAGACUGGGACGCAGGGCAGGAGUAUAGUACAUAGGAGACGGAGCGAUAGUGUGACCACGCCACGUGGGGGAAGAGGGGAAGGGGGUAGUAUAGCACUGCCGUCUGUGACGAGAUGUGAAUGACGGUAACGGGUGAAGAAGCACCGGCUAACUACGUG